UGGAUACCUUGGCUUCUAUACCGAAGAAGGGCGUGGCAAGCUGCGAUAAUCUAUGGGUAGCCGCACGCAGGCUAUGAUCCAUAGGUACCCGAAUUGGAAUCCAUUCAUUGUCCAAAAAGCAAUGAAAGGCCCCUUAGGGCCGGGGAACCCUCCGAACGAAAGCAUUCAAGUAGGAGGUGGAAAAGAAAUCAAUUUCGAGAUUUCCUUAGUAACGGCGAGUAAAAAGGAAACAGGUCAAACCGAAUGAGUAUAAGAAAUUAUAUUCGGAUGUGGUGUUGAGGACUAGUGUCAACGCGUAAGUUUUAGAAACUGAAUUUUGUUUGGAACACAAAACCAUAGAGGGUGACAGUCCCGUAAGUGUAUAAAACAUGCUAUGAGCAUUAGUAUCCAGACUAGGGCGGAUUGGUAAUUCCGUCCAAACCUCCAGAACCAACUGGAAAGCCUAAAUAUUAAUAGAAGACCGAUAGCGAACUAGUAACGUGAGUGAAAGGUGAAAAGUAGUGGUAAAACACAGUGAAAAGAGCUUGAAAUAAUUUACUUAAAGAGUGUAAUGGCGUCGAAGGAAAGAGACUCAUCGAAUCUAACGGUUGCGAAACCUUCUUGAGAGAUGAGUUUACCAGCGUCAUUGCGUCAGUCUUGAAACACUGGCCAGGGAGUUUAUUUAUGUGGUGAGGCUAAGAUCAUAUCUGUGCCGUAGGGAAACCAACCAGCCCGCAAUAUUAUGAGGGGCGACGUCUGAAAGGGCGUGAAAUCACAUGAAUAAGAUGCGAAACGAGUUGAUCUAUGCGUGGGCAGGUUGAAGCCUUGGGAAACUAAGGUGGAGGACCGAACGGUUGCUGAUAUACAACUCGCUCCGCUGACCUACGUAUAGUAGUCAAAGGCUAAUCUAAACUCGUGAUAGCACAUUAAAACCGAAGUGGUGCCGCAGACCAGCGUUGGACGAAAGAAAUUUGAAGGUAGAGUACAGACAGAGUCGGAAAGGGCCUUCACGGGCUCGCCACUCCAUCUAACUCCGAAUGUCAAAUUCUUGUAGACUCCAGCAGUCGGGUGGGUCGCCGUAAGGGUGAUCACCGAGAAGCGAAUAAGCUUGAUCUGGGUUAAGGGCCCCAAAUGUCAGUUAAGUGUUAAGCUGAAGGGCGUCGUAUCGCGAAGACAAUGAGGUGGUAAGCUUAGAAGCAGCUACCCAUUAAAAAGUUCGUACUAGAUUACUCAUCGAGCGGUACGGCCCUGAAAAUGGACGGGGCUCAAACUGACUCCCGAUACCCAGAGGCGUAUAUUAAUACGAUCCGGUAGGUUUUCGAUGGCAUAGGGUAGAAGCAGGUUGGAGAUGACCUGUGGACCUUUGUCAUGUGCAGAUCCUGGUAGUAGUAGGCAGAAAACAUGGGUGAAAACCCCAUGGGUCAAAAAGGCAAGGGUUCCGAGGCAAUGUCAAUCAGCCUCGGGUAAGCCGGUCCUAAGCGUAACCUUAUUAUGGUCAUCGCAAAAGGGAAGCAGGUUAAUAUUCCUGCGCUGCGCCUGAACUCGGUAACGAUAGAAUAUGAUCGGACGCUUGUAGAUAGGUUCUUGUGGACCGUCGUCCAGACUAAGUGUAUAAGUCCUAGGAGUUGCGUUGAGCAGAGAAUUGGACAAAAUCACGAAUGGCCACCCAAUAGUGGGGGGUUGAAUUGAUUUCUAAAAGCCCAUGAAAACGAUCAUAUUUACUAAUGGCGCAUCCGUACCUAAACCGACACGGGUGUCCUUAGGCUUAGAAGGCUAAGACCUCUUGGAGUAAUGUAGUUAAGGGAAUUCGGCAAAUUAGGCGAGUAACUUCGGGAUAAUCGCUGCCUUUAGACGUUUUGCGUCCGAAGGUGUCACUAACAUAGGGAACCCAACUGUUUAACAAAAACAUAGCAAACUGCUACGCGGAAACGCUUUGUAUAGUUUGUGAAUCCUGCUCCGUGCUCGUAAGUUAAAGCCGGGUACAACCGGCCUAAGCUCGAGUUAACAGCGGGAGUAACCAUGACUCUCUUAAGGUAGGCAAAUGCCUUGUCGGAUAAUUACCGACGUCCAUGAAGGGAACAAUGAGGUUCCCCCUGUCCCUAACUAGAAUCCAGUGAACCUACAGUCCGGCGAACAGUCCGGAGAGACCUGACGGGAAGAGAAGACCCUGAGAGCUUUACUACAGCUUCCAGUUGUGUAUGCGGUUAUCAUACAGAGCGUAGUUAGGAGACUUUGAAGAUUUAUCCCCGGGUAAAUUGGAGUCAACAAUGGAACACUAACUAUGAUGACUGCGUAUGCUCACCUGAUGCGUCGGGGACACCUGGAGGUGGGUAGUUUGGCUGGGGCGGCACGCCUCCGAUAAGAAAACAGAGGCGCCCAAAGGUUGACUCAGAAGGGUCAGAAAUCCUUCGUAGAGUGCAAGGGCAUAAGUCAGCUUUACUGUGAGCACGAAAAUCCUGCUCGCUGUUACGAAAGUAGGGCCUAGCGAUCCAUCCUGAUCCUCCUUGGUGGGGGCGGGUGGUGACAGAAAAGUUACCUCAGGGGUAACAGAGUUGUCGCGGGCUAAAGUUCACACGUUGGUUUUAUAACCUCGGUGAUUUAGUUCAUACAAACCCUUUACUUUUCUGAAAAUAUCGCAAAAUAGUUGUAUUAAAUACAACCUGUUCUUUAUCGUGUUUCUCCUGUGGAGAACCCACCAUAAAUUAAAACUAAAGUAGUUACAAGCUCGUGCCAAGCCGAAAACGGCACAAUAAAAUGGUCUAAACUCUCUUCAAAAGUUAUAAGAAUAACAAGAAUACAAGUAGAGAAAAAACUAACUUACACACACCUAAUCAAACUGUAAAGUUGAUGAUGAUGGUGUUGUUGGUCUGUUUCCCAACCAAUUCCUAUACUUAUAACCUAUGAAGGAACGAGUUACGAUCAGAAAAAGCGCGAGUUAGAUAUGUUUCAGUCAUACUGCAAAUUAUCUUACAAAGGGUUUGAAUUAAUCAUUUAUCGAUCUGGAUGCGUCCAGAAACGGGAUAAAUUGACCCCGCGGCUUGCUUCCUCGAUGUCGGCUCUUCCUCGCUUGGUGAUGCACAAGUCACCUAGAGUAGGGUUGUUCGCCCAUUAAUAGGGAACGUGAGCUGGGUUCAGACCGUUGUGAGACAGGUUGGUUUCUAUCUUUCAGGUCUGUUGCGUAUUUGCAGGUAAAUUGCCACCAGUACGAGAGGAACGUGGGGAUGGGGCCUCUGGUCGAUCGGUUGUCUGACAAGGCACUGCCGAGUAGCUACGCCCUUCCAGAUAAGAGCUGAACGCAUCUAAGCUCGAAGCUGGUCCUAAAACGAAAUA
RNAcentral lists this ribosomal RNA (3309 nucleotides) under archaeon. RNAcentral describes it as "23S ribosomal RNA". It matches the Rfam family "Archaeal large subunit ribosomal RNA". The record is from RNAcentral.